UGCAGUCGACGAUGAGCCCAGCUUGCUGGGUGGAUUAGUGGCGAACGGGUGAGUAACACGUGAGUAACCUGCCCUUAACUCUGGGAUAAGCCUGGGAAACUGGGUCUAAUACCGGAUAGGAGCGUCCACCGCAUGGUGGGUGUUGGAAAGAUUUAUCGGUUUUGGAUGGACUCGCGGCCUAUCAGCUUGUUGGUGAGGUAAUGGCUCACCAAGGCGACGACGGGUAGCCGGCCUGAGAGGGUGACCGGCCACACUGGGACUGAGACACGGCCCAGACUCCUACGGGAGGCAGCAGUGGGGAAUAUUGCACAAUGGGCGAAAGCCUGAUGCAGCGACGCCGCGUGAGGGAUGACGGCCUUCGGGUUGUAAACCUCUUUCAGUAGGGAAGAAGCGAAAGUGACGGUACCUGCAGAAGAAGCACCGGCUAACUACGUGCCAGCAGCCGCGGUAAUACGUAGGGUGCGAGCGUUAUCCGGAAUUAUUGGGCGUAAAGAGCUCGUAGGCGGUUUGUCGCGUCUGUCGUGAAAGUCCGGGGCUUAACCCCGGAUCUGCGGUGGGUACGGGCAGACUAGAGUGCAGUAGGGGAGACUGGAAUUCCUGGUGUAGCGGUGGAAUGCGCAGAUAUCAGGAGGAACACCGAUGGCGAAGGCAGGUCUCUGGGCUGUAACUGACGCUGAGGAGCGAAAGCAUGGGGAGCGAACAGGAUUAGAUACCCUGGUAGUCCAUGCCGUAAACGUUGGGCACUAGGUGUGGGGACCAUUCCACGGUUUCCGCGCCGCAGCUAACGCAUUAAGUGCCCCGCCUGGGGAGUACGGCCGCAAGGCUAAAACUCAAAGGAAUUGACGGGGGCCCGCACAAGCGGCGGAGCAUGCGGAUUAAUUCGAUGCAACGCGAAGAACCUUACCAAGGCUUGACAUGUUCUCGAUCGCCGUAGAGAUACGGUUUCCCCUUUGGGGCGGGUUCACAGGUGGUGCAUGGUUGUCGUCAGCUCGUGUCGUGAGAUGUUGGGUUAAGUCCCGCAACGAGCGCAACCCUCGUUCCAUGUUGCCAGCACGUAAUGGUGGGGACUCAUGGGAGACUGCCGGGGUCAACUCGGAAGGAAGGUGAGGACGACGUCAAAUCAUCA
Molecule: ribosomal RNA, 1126 nt
Filed under: Micrococcus luteus
Lineage: Bacteria; Bacillati; Actinomycetota; Actinomycetes; Micrococcales; Micrococcaceae
Description: bacterial SSU rRNA
Rfam family: Bacterial small subunit ribosomal RNA
Source: RNAcentral